CCUACGGGCGGCAGCAGUGGGGAAUAUUGGACAAUGGGCGAAAGCCUGAUCCAGCCAUGCCGCGUGUGUGAAGAAGGCCUUCGGGUUGUAAAGCACUUUCAGUGGGGAAGAAAGCCUUGGGGCUAAUACCCUCGAGGAAGGACAUCACCCACAGAAGAAGCACCGGCUAACUCCGUGCCAGCAGCCGCGGUAAUACGGAGGGUGCGAGCGUUAAUCGGAAUUACGGGGCGUAAAGCGCGCGUAGGCGGUCUGAUAAGCCGGUUGUGAAAGCCCCGGGCUCAACCUGGGAACGGCAUCCGGAACUGUCAGGCUAGAGUGCAGGAGAGGAAGGUAGAAUUCCCGGUGUAGCGGUGAAAUGCGUAGAGAUCGGGAGGAAUACCAGUGGCGAAGGCGGCCUUCUGGACUGACACUGACGCUGAGGUGCGAAAGCGUGGGUAGCAAACAGGAUUAGAUACCCUGGUAGUC
Molecule: ribosomal RNA, 465 nt
Filed under: Vreelandella stevensii
Lineage: Bacteria; Pseudomonadati; Pseudomonadota; Gammaproteobacteria; Oceanospirillales; Halomonadaceae
Description: partial 16S ribosomal RNA
Rfam family: Bacterial small subunit ribosomal RNA
Source: RNAcentral